GACGAACGCUGGCGGCGUGCUUAACACAUGCAAGUCGAACGGAAAGGCCCUGCUUGCAGGGUACUCGAGUGGCGAACGGGUGAGUAACACGUGGGUGAUCUGCCCUGCACUUCGGGAUAAGCCUGGGAAACUGGGUCUAAUACCGGAUAGGAGCCAUUUUUAGUGUGAUGGUUGGAAAGUUUUUUCGGUGUAGGAUGAGCUCGCGGCCUAUCAGCUUGUUGGUGGGGUAAUGGCCUACCAAGGCGGCGACGGGUAGCCGGCCUGAGAGGGUGGACGGCCACAUUGGGACUGAGACACGGCCCAGACUCCUACGGGAGGCAGCAGUGGGGAAUAUUGCACAAUGGGCGCAAGCCUGAUGCAGCGACGCCGCGUGGGGGAUGACGGCCUUCGGGUUGUAAACUCCUUUCGCUAGGGACGAAGCUUUUUGUGACGGUACCUAGAUAAGAAGCACCGGCUAACUACGUGCCAGCAGCCGCGGUAAUACGUAGGGUGCGAGCGUUGUCCGGAAUUACUGGGCGUAAAGGGCUCGUAGGUGGUUUGUCGCGUCGUCUGUGAAAUUCCGGGGCUUAACUCCGGGCGUGCAGGCGAUACGGGCAUAACUUGAGUACUGUAGGGGUAACUGGAAUUCCUGGUGUAGCGGUGAAAUGCGCAGAUAUCAGGAGGAACACCGAUGGCGAAGGCAGGUUACUGGGCAGUUACUGACGCUGAGGAGCGAAAGCAUGGGUAGCGAACAGG
Molecule: ribosomal RNA, 735 nt
Filed under: uncultured Corynebacterium sp.
Lineage: Bacteria; Bacillati; Actinomycetota; Actinomycetes; Mycobacteriales; Corynebacteriaceae
Description: bacterial SSU rRNA
Rfam family: Bacterial small subunit ribosomal RNA
Source: RNAcentral